GCUCGGCUAGCUCAGUCAGUAGAGCACGAGUCUGUUAACCUCGGGGUCAUGGGUUCAGGCCCCACGUUGGGCG
Molecule: non-coding RNA, 73 nt
Organism: Ixodes scapularis (black-legged tick)
Lineage: Eukaryota; Metazoa; Arthropoda; Arachnida; Ixodida; Ixodidae
Source: Rfam